RNAcentral lists this long non-coding RNA (361 nucleotides) under Gossypium raimondii (Peruvian cotton). RNAcentral describes it as "long non-coding RNA (GRAI_LNC000519)". The record is from RNAcentral. Lineage: Eukaryota; Viridiplantae; Streptophyta; Magnoliopsida; Malvales; Malvaceae.
ACUCGUAUCAUCAACAUUCCCCUUUUUCUCCCCUUUUCACUCCCAUGAUACCCUUUCCAUGCCUUUGUCCUCUAAACACGCCAAAAUUUUCCCCUUACCUUACCUUAGCCGGCCAUGCACCUAGACAUAUCCAUUUUUACUUUUUUUUCAUUUUUCUCUCAUCCUCUCUCUUUGCCAUCCACCACCUUACUCCUCCCUCUUUCUCUCAUUUUUUUCCAUUUCACCUCCUAAAUCACCCUUUUCUUCAGAUUUCUCCUCCACUCCACCACCACUCAAGGCCAUCACACCUCCAUAUCACUACCACCUCUCCUCCAUCACCACCUCCAUCGUCGUGCCACCGUUGUUAGCCACCGCCAAAAUU